RNAcentral lists this microRNA precursor (92 nucleotides) under Podarcis lilfordi (Lilford's wall lizard). Lineage: Eukaryota; Metazoa; Chordata; Lepidosauria; Squamata; Lacertidae. The record is from RNAcentral.
GCAUAGGCAAACUCCAGCCCUCCAGAUGUUUGGGACUACAAUUGAUGGAAAUUGUAGUCCCAAACAUCUGGAGGGCCGGAGUUUGCCUAUGC